ACGCUAGCUACAGGCUUAACACAUGCAAAGUCGAGGGGAAACGGCAUUGAGUGCUUGCACUCUUUGGACGUCCACCGGCGCACGGGUGAGUAACGCGUAUCCAACCUUCCCAUUACUGUGGGAUAACCUGCCGAAAGGCAGACUAAUACCGCAUAGUCUUCGAUGACGGCAUCAGAUUUGAAGUAAAGAUUUAUCGGUAAUGGAUGGGGAUGCGUCUGAUUAGCUUGUUGGCGGGGUAACGGCCCACCAAGGCUACGAUCAGUAGGGGUUUUGAGAGGAAGGUCCCCCACAUUGGAACUGAGACACGGUCCAAACUCCUACGGGAGGCAGCAGUGAGGAAUAUUGGUCAAUGGACGGAAGUCUGAACCAGCCAAGUAGCGUGCAGGAUGACGGCCCUAUGGGUUGUAAACUGCUUUUGUAUGGGGAUAAAGUUAGGGACGUGUCCCUAUUUGCAGGUACCAUACGAAUAAGGACCGGCUAAUUCCGUGCCAGCAGCCGCGGUAAUACGGAAGGUCCAGGCGUUAUCCGGAUUUAUUGGGUUUAAAGGGAGCGUAGGCUGGAGAUUAAGUGUGUUGUGAAAUGUAGACGCUCAACGUCUGAAUUGCAGCGCAUACUGGUUUCCUUGAGUACGCACAACGUUGGCGGAAUUCGUCGUGUAGCGGUGAAAUGCUUAGAUAUGACGAAGAACUCCGAUUGCGAAGGCAGCUGACGGGAGCGCAACUGACGCUUAAGCUCGAAGGUGCGGGUAUCAAACAGGAUUAGAUACCCUGGUAGUCCGCACAGUAAACGAUGGAUGCCCGCUGUUGGUACCUGGUAUCAGCGGCUAAGCGAAAGCAUUAAGCAUCCCACCUGGGGAGUACGCCGGCAACGGUGAAACUCAAAGGAAUUGACGGGGGCCCGCACAAGCGGAGGAACAUGUG
This 920-nucleotide ribosomal RNA is filed under the name uncultured bacterium. RNAcentral's name for it is "bacterial SSU rRNA". It matches the Rfam family "Bacterial small subunit ribosomal RNA", at positions 33 to 943 of the family's 1533-position model. The record is from RNAcentral.